GACGAACGCUGGCGGCGUGCUUAACACAUGCAAGUCGAACGGAAAGGCCCUUCGGGGUACUCGAGUGGCGAACGGGUGAGUAACACGUGGGUGAUCUGCCCUGCACUUUGGGAUAAGCCUGGGAAACUGAGUCUAAUACCGAAUAGGACCACGCGCUUCAUGGUGUGUGGUGGAAAGCUUUUGCGGUGUGGGAUGGGCCCGCGGCCUAUCAGCUUGUUGGUGGGGUAAUGGCCUACCAAGGCGACGACGGGUAGCCGGCCUGAGAGGGUGACCGGCCACACUGGGACUGAGAUACGGCCCAGACUCCUACGGGAGGCAGCAGUGGGGAAUAUUGCACAAUGGGCGCAAGCCUGAUGCAGCGACGCCGCGUGAGGGAUGACGGCCUUCGGGUUGUAAACCUCUUUCAAUAGGGACGAAGCGCAAGUGACGGUACCUAUAGAAGAAGCACCGGCCAACUACGUG
RNAcentral lists this ribosomal RNA (462 nucleotides) under uncultured bacterium. RNAcentral's name for it is "partial 16S ribosomal RNA". It matches the Rfam family "Bacterial small subunit ribosomal RNA", at positions 28 to 507 of the family's 1533-position model. The record is from RNAcentral.